CACAACUAGCAAUUUGUGAAUUAAAAACAGAGAACACAAAAGAAAAACAAUUCAAAGAAAGAAAAUUAAGGUAAACUAAAAACUAAAUAAAAGGUAUACUAAAAUAUGAACAAUAAAGAAAUAAAAAGAGUUAGUAAAAGGAAAAGAAAAGUCACCAAACUUGUGAUGAAGAUCACAAGUACUCUGAAAAGGUGAUAUCACUGUAAAGUGGCA
Molecule: long non-coding RNA, 213 nt
Filed under: Vitis vinifera (wine grape)
Lineage: Eukaryota; Viridiplantae; Streptophyta; Magnoliopsida; Vitales; Vitaceae
Description: long non-coding RNA (VVIN_LNC002419)
Source: RNAcentral